Molecule: ribosomal RNA, 277 nt
Filed under: uncultured Eubacteriales bacterium
Lineage: Bacteria; Bacillati; Bacillota; Clostridia; Eubacteriales
Description: uncultured Clostridiales bacterium partial 16S ribosomal RNA
Rfam family: Bacterial small subunit ribosomal RNA
Source: RNAcentral
CACUUCAUAAAGUUUACUUUAAGAAGUGACUUAGUGGCGGACGGGUGAGUAACGCGUGAGCAACCUGCCCAUAUCAGGGGAAUAACACAGUGAAAAUUGUGCUAAUACCGCAUAAGACCACGAAGCGGCAUCGCUUUGCGGUAAAAGAUUUAUCGGAUAUGGAUGGGCUCGCGUCCCAUUAGAUAGUUGGCGGGGUAACGGCCCACCAAGUCGACGAUGGGUAGCCGACCUGAGAGGGUGAUCGGCCACAUUGGAACUGAGAAACGGUCCAGACUCC